CACCCCGUGGGCGAAGUUGGCGCACUGCAGCUUGCCGCGCUGCGGGCCGUCGCUGGCGGCCUGGUGGAUCAUGGCCAGGUAGCGUGC
This 87-nucleotide transfer RNA is filed under the name compost metagenome. RNAcentral's name for it is "tRNA-Gly". The record is from RNAcentral.